This 443-nucleotide ribosomal RNA is filed under the name bacterium. RNAcentral's name for it is "partial 23S ribosomal RNA". It matches the Rfam family "Bacterial large subunit ribosomal RNA", at positions 27 to 473 of the family's 2925-position model. The record is from RNAcentral.
ACAGAUGCCUAGGAGUUUCAAGCCGAAGAAGGACGCGGUUGGUGGCGAAACGCACCGGCAAGGUACCAACAACCUAUGACCCGGUGGUAUCCGAAUGGGGAAACCCUCCUUGACGUAAGUCAAGGAUCUUGAACUAAUUUAUUAGUUCUUGAGGUAACCUGGGGAACUGAAAUAUCUAAGUACCCAGAGGAACAGAAAUCGAAUGAGAUUCCCUUAGUAGCGACGAGCGAAUAGGGAAAAGCCCAAACUCCGCUUUUGGCGGGGGGUUGUAGGACUCCAAUCUAGGAUGUAGUGUUGUUAGAAAAAUAAGCUGGAAAGCUUGGCCAUAGAAGGUGACAGCCCUGUAUUUGAAAAUAACACUACCCUUAGGAGAUUCCUGAGUACUCCAGAAGACGGUAAACUUCGGGAGGAAUCCACGCUGACCACAGUGUAAGGCUAAAUAC